This 253-nucleotide ribosomal RNA is filed under the name uncultured bacterium. Its description in RNAcentral is "partial 16S ribosomal RNA". It matches the Rfam family "Bacterial small subunit ribosomal RNA", at positions 524 to 776 of the family's 1533-position model. The record is from RNAcentral.
UACGAAGGGGGCUAGCGUUGUUCGGAAUUAUUGGGCGUAAAGGGCGCGUAGGCGGCCUGAUAAGUCAAAGGUGAAAUCCCUCGGCUCAACUGAGGAACUGCCUUUGGAACUGUUAGGCUUGAGGCCGGGAGGGGGUAGCGGAAUUCCCAGUGUAGCGGUGAAAUGCGUAGAUAUUGGGAGGAACACCGGUGGCGAAGGCGGCUACCUGGACCGGUUCUGACGCUGAGGCUCGAAAGCGUGGGGAGCAAACAGG